GACGAACGCUGGCGGCGUGCCUAAUACAUGCAAGUCGAACGCAGUGGGGACGGGUGAGUAACACGUGGGUAACCUCCCAUCAGAGGGGAUAACACUUGGAAACAGGUGCUAAACCGAUACUGAUGGAUGGACCCGCGGUGCAUUAGCUAGAUGGUGAGGUAACGGCUCACCAGGGCCACGAGGCAUAGCCGACCUGGGAGGGUGAUCGGCCACACUGGGACUGAGACACGGCCCAGACUCCUACGGGAGGCAGCAGUAGGGAAUCUUCGGCAAUGGACGAAAGUCUGACCGAGCAACGCCGCGUGUGUGAAGAAGGUUUUCGGAUCGUAAAACGCUGUUGUUAGAGAAGCGGUAUCUAACCAGAAAGCCACGGCUAACUACGUGCCAGCAGCCGCGGUAAUUC
RNAcentral lists this ribosomal RNA (403 nucleotides) under uncultured bacterium. RNAcentral describes it as "partial 16S ribosomal RNA". It matches the Rfam family "Bacterial small subunit ribosomal RNA", at positions 28 to 526 of the family's 1533-position model. The record is from RNAcentral.